This is a long non-coding RNA of Gallus gallus (chicken), 4026 nucleotides long. RefSeq lists it as uncharacterized. The record is from RefSeq and is a predicted model, not a curated record. NCBI's taxonomy places the organism in Eukaryota, Metazoa, Chordata, Aves, Galliformes, Phasianidae. The transcript is spliced from 2 exons.
GGCGGGCAGAGGGGGCGCCCUGCGGCAGGGAGGUGCGCUGCUCGGCCUGUCUCUGUCGCUCCGCCGUUGCCAUGGCAGCGCUGGGCGGGAGGCGCGGGACGUCUGUGGUGCCGUUGGAGGCGGCGGGUGCUGAUCGUGAGGGCGCGUUCGCGGAGCUUCAGCUUUACUCGGUCAGGUGAAUAAGCCGACGCAGCCGCCUGGCGCAGCUUCACAUCAGCAUGAAGGAGUUUGGAAGCGUACUUGUGACUUUCAGAGCCUGACAUCUCCUUGGAGCACUGCUUCAGAGUCAUUCCUGUCACUCAGAGGGAACCCACCGCUGCACCCACUCACACACCCAGCUCCCUCCAGACCGAAUGUGCAGAGUCAUUGCAGGGCACUCGGCUCCCUGGCAAGUGGGACAGUUCCCUGCUGCUCAAUGAACUGACUGUGACCAUAAAUUCUGCCUUUGCACGCUGGGUUGCUAUUUAAAGUCACAGUAUCACUCAUCAGGGAAAUUACUUUCCAAAAUGUGCCCCUCUCUAUAGAGGAGAAAAAGCUGGGGAUGGUGCUGAAGCAUCUGUGUUGCAGACACUGAGCUGCCUUUUCAUGGCAUUGAAGAUCACACCUACCAAGCCUCAAAACAAAUUAGUUUUCAUUGGGUCUGCUACUGUAGAAAUGCAUUGGAAGGAGUAACGUGUCCCAAAAUUUUGUCAUCUAAAUGGAAGUCCAGCCACAGUUCCCAUUGAAAGAAAAAUUAAAAAUAGACUUUAUUGUUACAAGGCUCUUAAAUGAGCUUAAUUUCUGAUCUUAACUGUAGAUAUCAGCAGGAGGAAGUACUGGCUAGCUACAGAUAAAAUACUUAAAGCAGAAAAAGCCAGUAUUCCCAUUUAGAAAAUUCUGUAACACAGUGGAUAUUGGGCACUUGCCAUUUUCAAUACACUUUUCUAUUUUUUAAUGCUGCCAAUCCAUUCUGUGUGGAUCUUGGGGCUCACCCCUUUCCCCGAAGCAGCAGGGCUGGUGCAGUAUUGCUAUGGGGAAGUUUUGUCCUCACAGCACCUCUGUAAGCAUGAGCAGUGGGGCUGCUCCAGCCUAUAGCACGGUGCCAUAUUUUUAGAUCCUCAGCUCACAUUUCAGUGAACAUGAAGUAUCUUUGUGUGUCAACAGACCCAAAAUGUCUCCCAGUGGAGCGUGAAGCAUGUCGACGUAGCAGGGACGUAAUCUGGGCAGUUCGUGGAAGCUUACAUCAUUAAGUCUAUCACUGGAAUGUGUUUGAUAUACAGCAAAUUCAGAUGUUUUUCUUUCCUGGGAACUCUGCCAGCAAGCCAUAGCAUGCGAGGGAGCCAGGAUGGCAAGGAGGGAAGGGCCGGUGCCUGGGCAAGACAUGAAUUAGGGAACUUUCAGUUCAGCUUGUUGAAGGUCUUCAUAGAGAAAUAGGGGCUGAACUUGUGCCUAGCCACUGUCCUUCAUCUGUCAGUGGGGAGCCCAUGGGGCCAAGCCCUGGCUUUGUGGGAAGCCCAAGCACAGGAGCUAUGGAAGAAGACAGAAUGGCAGAGCCCACACACAGACUGUCACGUUUUUGUAUGCUCAGGGAUUGGGAAGCUCCUGGAGGUGCCCUGCUGGGGAGUGCUGCAGGUUCCAAUUAUUGGGGAACCAUUGCACAGAAUCCCAUCUACACUUUUGUAUGUGUCAUCUUUAAAGCCAUUUUCUUCCUCGCACCUCUCUGUAGAAGGUUUCCCAAAGCUUAAUUGCUCCACUUAAUCCAAGAUCCCCAUAAUUUCUGAGUUAAAUUUGCCAGUGAUCUGUCUGUCCAUUUGCUACUGUCAGCUGUUCUUUAAAUUAGUAAUUUUCCAUCUCCAGUAUAUUGAUGGGCAGUGAUUGCACCGCCUCUUGUGUUCAUUCUACAGCAUAAGGUCAAUCUCCAUCUGUAAUACUGUAAUACAGCUGCCCUGAUGUACGCAUUUCUAGCAUUUAGGAAUAUAUGCAAAGCUCUGACCUAGCCUUAAUUAUACAACUGUGGUAUCUGCAUAGCAGGCAACAUCUGGGAGCAAAUAAUUGCCUCAGGAAAGACUUGUGUAUUCCUUAGACUUACAUGGUGUUUGUUGCUAUAAUGCCCACCACUUUCCAUUAUUAUUUGUGUCCAUUUUUUGUCUUUUUUCUUAUUUGCUUCUGUUAUGCUUCUCUGGGACAUUUUCAGUUGAUUGCUUGAGGUUUGGUGGGCAGUUACCUAGCUCUGAUACUUCAAUACCCACAAUAGCUUAAUUAGUAAGCACAUGAAAUCUAAUUAUCUGUUAAGCUUGAAGGAAAACUAUGGAAAUCCUUAUAAAAGGGAAAAUUAUCUUGUCAGCAUCUAUUUCACUGCAAAUUCUUGGGAUAACUGCACUAGGGAAAAUGGUCCCAGAGUACCUUUUCAUAGGACAGAGAGCUAGGAUUUUCUGAGAACUGCAUUGCAUGCAGUAUGAUUCAUAUGAGAGUUCACGGCAACACGAUACUGCAGCUACCCUCCGUUCAGGAGAUUGCAAAGCCCAUUUGUAUCUGAAUAUCCCAGAAUAGCACUAUGAACCAUACGUUAGAUGACAUGCAAUGACUAUUUACAGCAGACCAAAGAAUAGCCUGUGACAGAUAUCAGCUAGAGCUUAUUUUAAGCCCAUAUGCAUUUUCCUGAUUAGCUUUUGUUAAUGAAUUGCAAGAUAUGCCACUGUAAACAAAGUCUGAAAACCCUGGAUUUACACCCGGAUAGUGUGUAGUGGCAGAUCUGCAGUUUGUGAGCAUUCUGCUUAGCACAGAGAUAACAGAAAAGAGGAGGGUGUUUAAUCUGCCAGGCAAGGGUUUAUCUGUGAAGUUCCCAAGAGAAAGUUGUUCACCUGGCUAUGAAACUUUAAUGUUUUUGUUGUUUUGUUAACCGUAUCUUCAAAAGACUAAGGAUUUCUGAGAUGUUUUGUUCUUAGAAUAAUUGACAUCUGUUUUAGAAGAAUCAGACAGUGUCUUUAACAGCACUUUUUGGCUUAUUCUCUUUUCAGCUCUCCUGAAUUUAAAUCAUGCUUAUCGUUCAAAAGUCAAACACUGAAAAAUUGUAGGAAAAAAUCCAGUGAGGUGUUACCCGUACCCCUGCUUUGCUCUUCCAUCUUGAAGUUGCUCUCCCUACUGCAACAGUCUUCUUCAGGUAAGAAAUGAUAAAGCCUUACUGAAGAAUACAUACUGCAAGAGUUCAGAGUAAGCUGUGUCUUUCAGUCAUGAUUAAACACUGCUUAAUUCUUAGCAGUACUUAUGACAGUGUUUUCACAUUUUUUACAUUUGAAGUCUCAUUUUUUAAAAGAAAAACACUGAGAAAAUAAAGGAGAGUGGGGAGGACCACAGAAUCUUUUUAAUUUCAGACCCAAACAUAAUGGCAGCUCAGAUUUUGGACUGAUACAUGCGUUACCCCCCAGAACACCCUGUGUGGGGCUGUGGAGCUCCCUCACCCCUUGCAUGCCUCAGGCAGCUCUGCUGCUACGGCUGCUCGCUGCUGGCAGCGUCCCAGGACCACAGCCCAGCGGGGUCAGCUGCACGAAGGAGCAGCCGGAGCCGCUCAGCGCCUCGAGGCGCGUGUCCCUCAAUGCCGAUCAAUGCCGACUGCCCGGUGACGCCAGUCUGUCAUUGCCCCAACCCCUGUGCUGGCAGCUUGGCUCGCUUUGAAAAUGAAAGUGAAAAAAAAAGAGGAAACUCAAUGAUAUUCUGGUUCUCGAUUGUACCUCGAGUAUGUGUUGCGUGAUAUUCUCUGCACAGAACGGCAGGCUUGUUUUAUUCAUUGGCCCUUCCCCAUAAGCUCAAGGACGUCGGAGGUUAAACACUUCAUUAUUAUUCUGUCAUUAGCACCAUGAUGCAAUUCCCAGCCCACAUACAGCUGCCAAAGUGGUGUCACUGAGUGUGCUGCAAGGAAUUGCAGGCACUCAGAGCUGUCUUUGGGGCAAGAAUCCUUCCUGGUUUAAAUAUUGAGUUUCUCUACCAUGUGUUUUCUGUAUCAUUAAAACAAAGAGCAAAGAUGUAAAUAAAAGAUUGGGAAUUUGGAAA